This 297-nucleotide ribosomal RNA is filed under the name uncultured archaeon. RNAcentral describes it as "partial 16S rRNA". It matches the Rfam family "Archaeal small subunit ribosomal RNA", at positions 330 to 631 of the family's 1478-position model. The record is from RNAcentral.
GCGCAGCAGGCGCGAAAACUUUACAAUGCGGGAAACCGUGAUAAGGGAACUCCGAGUGCCCGUAAAAUCGGGCUGUCCAUCUGUUUAAAUAACAGGUGAAGAAAGGGCCGGGCAAGACCGGUGCCAGCCGCCGCGGUAAUACCGGCGGCUCGAGUGGUGGCCACUAUUACUGGGCUUAAAGCGUUCGUAGCUGGUCUGUUAAGUCUCUGGGGAAAUCUACUGGCUUAACCAAUAGGCGUUUCAGGGAUACUGGCAGACUAGGGACCGGGAGAGGUGAGGGGUACUCCAGGGGUAGGA